GACGAACCGUGCGAACGUUGUUCGGAUUCACUGGGCUUAAAGGGCGCGUAGGCGGAUUACCAAGUCGGGGGUGAAAUCUUUCGGCUCAACCGGAAAAUAGCCUUCGAUACUGGUAGUCUUGAGGGAGGUAGGGGCAGGUGGAACUUCUGGUGGAGCGGUGAAAUGCGUAGAUAUCAGAAGGAACGCCGGUGGCGAAGGCAGCUCGCUGGGACGGUACUGACGCUGAGACGCGAAAGCGUGGGGAGCAAACAGG
Molecule: ribosomal RNA, 253 nt
Filed under: uncultured bacterium
Lineage: Bacteria
Description: partial 16S ribosomal RNA
Rfam family: Bacterial small subunit ribosomal RNA
Source: RNAcentral